GAUCCUGGCUCAGGACGAACGCUGGCGGCGUGCCUAACACAUGCAAGUCGAACGGGGUUAUUUGAGAGCUUGCUUUUGGAUAACCUAGUGGCGGACGGGUGAGUAACGCGUGAGUAACCUGCCUUUCAGAGGGGAAUAACAAUCUGAAAAGAUUGCUAAUACCGCAUAACAUCUAAUUGUCGCAUGGCAGAUAGAUCAAAGGAGCAAUCCGCUGAGAGAUGGACUCGCGUCCGA
RNAcentral lists this ribosomal RNA (234 nucleotides) under uncultured bacterium. Its description in RNAcentral is "partial 16S ribosomal RNA". It matches the Rfam family "Bacterial small subunit ribosomal RNA", at positions 15 to 240 of the family's 1533-position model. The record is from RNAcentral.